UGGCAAAAUGGCUAAGUGCUUGGCUGCUAACCAAAAGGUUGGUGGUUCGAACCCACC
This 57-nucleotide transfer RNA is filed under the name Loxodonta africana (African savanna elephant). It matches the Rfam family "tRNA", at positions 1 to 63 of the family's 71-position model. Rfam says of the family: Transfer RNA (tRNA) molecules are approximately 80 nucleotides in length. Their secondary structure includes four short double-helical elements and three loops (D, anti-codon, and T loops). The record is from Rfam by way of RNAcentral. Lineage: Eukaryota; Metazoa; Chordata; Mammalia; Proboscidea; Elephantidae.